AUUGAACGCUGGCGGCAGGCCUAACACAUGCAAGUCGAGCGAGCGGCGGACGGGUGAGUAAUGUAUGGGGAUCUGCCUGAUAGAGGGGGAUAACUACUGGAAACGGUGGCUAAUACCGCAUACCAUCGGAUGUACCCAUCUCGGAUUAGCUAGUAGGGUGGGUAAAGGCUCACCUAGGCGACGAUCUCUACCUGGUCUGAGAGGAUGCCCAGCCACACUGGAACGGAGACACGGCCCAGACUCAGACGGGAGGCAGCAGUGGGGAAUAUUGCACAAUGGGCGCAAGCCUGAUGCAGCCAUGCCGCGUGUAUGAAGAAGGCCUUAGGGUUGUAAAGUACUUUCAGCGGGGAGGCGUUACCAGCAGAAGAAGCACCGGCUAACUCCGUGCCAGCAGCCGCGGUAAUUC
RNAcentral lists this ribosomal RNA (406 nucleotides) under uncultured bacterium. RNAcentral describes it as "partial 16S ribosomal RNA". It matches the Rfam family "Bacterial small subunit ribosomal RNA", at positions 30 to 526 of the family's 1533-position model. The record is from RNAcentral.